RNAcentral lists this long non-coding RNA (1465 nucleotides) under Sus scrofa (pig). RNAcentral describes it as "lncRNA (ENSSSCG00070021056.1)". Lineage: Eukaryota; Metazoa; Chordata; Mammalia; Artiodactyla; Suidae. The record is from RNAcentral.
CAUAUUUACACUGUAUUCCAUUCCAGCGCGAUGACUCAGAAUUCAGAAGGUUGGUGCUUCAGCCACCCACAGCAGGUUUUCCAGGACACUGGAAGGGCUAAUGUCCUCUUGUUGACACUUGAAAAUGAAGCUGAUGGCCCCGCCCUGAUGAGAUGGGAAGGAAACAAGAGCCAACCCAGCUUUUUAACUUUGACUUCCGCUACAACUUAGCACUCUGCCUUGGAGCUGAUGAAAUCCCGCUACCUGGGGGAGCAGGAAAACUAGAAGACAGUCUUUUGGCAAACUAAGCUGAAACAAAACAUUCCCUGUGGCGAUUCAACCUAGCUCCGAUUCCCAGGUCCGAUUCAACCCCUAGCCUGGUUUUAAAUGGGAUAGUCAGGUUCCAAAGUACUGACAGCAAAAUUACAGCUUAAAUAGGUUUUGUGGUCUUAAGACAUAAUGACUUACCAUUUUUCACUUUGGGGACCAAACCCAUUUCCUUGUCAGGAAAUUCCUCAGCUGGAAGAUUUAGUGAGGCCAAAAGUUAAUGUUAACCAUUGAAGAGAUUUUGCUUUCACUUACCUGCCUGGCUUGUAUCACUUACCUGCCUGGCUUGUAUUCUUAGAUUUAUAUGUGCAUAGGUUUAUACAUGCCCUUUCUGAGGUAGGAACUCUUGAUAUUAAAAUAUAUUAUAUGACGGAGUUCCCAUAGUGGCACAACAGAAACGAAUCCAGCUAAGAUCCAUGACGACGCAGGUUCGAUCCACGGCCUUGCUCAGUGGGUUGGAGAUCCAGCUUCGCCAGGAGCUGUGCUGUAGGAGGCAGAUAUGGCUCGGAUCCCGCAUUGCUGUGGCUAUGGCAUAGGCCAGCAGCUGCAGCUCCGAUUCAACCCCUAGCCUGGGUGUGGCCCUAAAAAGCAAAAAAAAAAAAAAAAAAAAAAAAAAAAGGAUAUUUUAUGAGCUGUCGAGCCAUGAAAAGACCUGAAGGAAACUUAAAUGCAUAUUACUAACCAAAAGAAGCCCAUGUGACAAGGCUACAUACUGCAUGCUUCCCACUAAACAACAUCCUGGAAAAGGCAAAAUUAUGACAACAGUAAGUAUAUCACUGGUUGGCAGGAGUUAUAAAGGGAGGGGAGAUGAACAUGCAGAUCACAGAGAUUUUUUUAGGGCAGCAAAACUACCCUGUCUUGAUACUUGAACGGUGGGUCCACAUCAUUGCACAUUUGAACAAACCCAUAAUAUGCACAAGAGCAAGAGUGAACCCUAAUGUAAAAUGAGGACUUCGGGUGAUAACAGUAUGGCAAUGAGGUUCAUCAUUUGCAACAAAUGUAAGGCUGUGGUGGGGGAUGCUGCCUUGGUGGGGGGGUGGAUGCAGGUGUGAAAACACAGGGUAUGAGGGGAAUCUCUGUACUUUCUGCUUAAUAUCACUGUGAACCUAAAAGUGCUCUAAAAAAUAAAGUCUACUUUUAAAAAUAUUUGCUGUAUGUU